RNAcentral lists this ribosomal RNA (585 nucleotides) under uncultured bacterium. RNAcentral's name for it is "partial 16S ribosomal RNA". It matches the Rfam family "Bacterial small subunit ribosomal RNA", at positions 355 to 1375 of the family's 1533-position model. The record is from RNAcentral.
UGGGGAAUAUUGCACAAUGGGCGAAAGCCUGAUCCAGCAAUGCCGCGUGUGUGAAGAAGGCCUUCGGGUUGUAAAGCACUUUUGUCCGGAAAGAAAUCCUUGGCUCUAAUACAGUCGGGGGAUGACGGUACCGGAAGAAUAAGCACCGGCUAACUACGUGCCAGCAGCCGCGGUAAUACGUAGGGUGCAAGCGUUAAUCGGAAUUACUGGGCGUAAAGCGUGCGCAGGCGGUUUGCUAAGACCGAUGUGAAAUCCCCGGGCUCAACCUGGGAACUGCAUUGGUGACUGGCAGGCUAGAGUAUGGCAGAGGGGGGUAGAAUUCCACGUGUAGCAGUGAAAUGCGUAGAGAUGUGGAGGAAUACCGAUGGCGAAGGCAGCCCCCUGGGCCAAUACUGACGCUCAUGCACGAAAGCGUGGGGAGCAAACAGGAUUAGAUACCCUGGUAGUCCACGCCCUAAACGAUGUCAACUAGUUGUUGGGGAUUCAUUUCCUUAGUAACGUAGCUAACGCGUGAAGUUGACCGCCUGGGGAGUACGGUCGCAAGAUUAAAACUUAAAUGAAUUGACGGGGUCAUAGCUGUUUCCU